This is a non-coding RNA of Danio rerio (zebrafish), 1096 nucleotides long. Lineage: Eukaryota; Metazoa; Chordata; Actinopteri; Cypriniformes; Danionidae. The record is from RefSeq and is a predicted model, not a curated record.
GCGAGAUGGAUGCUUUAAUGUUUAUUUUUCUCAAGUGCCACUAGGGGGCGCUGCUCCGACCGGUCCUUCCUAUCGCUUCCAGACAAUACUUCCGGGGGUCGGAAGGAAGCGGAAGGGCAGGUAAACAAUCGGAGAUUAUAAAAGAGGAAGAAAAGGCCAGAGAGGGGGCUUCUUGUUGUUUUGGUGUCGGGUAUUUGGUGGUAAGAGUUGGAGAAGAACAGUGUAAGGUGGAGAGCUUGUUGAUUUCAAUGACUGUGUGAGGAAAAAACUGAGGGGUGGAAGCAAUUCGUGGACGUGGUGACCAGGCGAUCUCUCUAAGUAUUGUGUGCGAGGGGUCUGAAAUUCUCGAUGGAAAAAGUGGACCUGUGCAGAACGGCUUCGGUGUCCCUGGGAUUUCAAAAGACCUGCUUAAAGACUGCUUCACCAAUUGUUGGGAAGAUCAUUGUACUGGGCAAUACUACAGAAGAGGAAGAUACCAACAUAGAUGACCACAUCAUUCUGUCUAAAAGGACUUAUUAAAUUUGUUUAUUGGGAAGUUUAAUUCAAAUUAAAGUCCUCAAUGAAAAUUUGUGGCAGUGUUUUAAUUAAGAAACAGUUGCAAUGCAUCACCAUAUUUUUUUUAACAUUUUAAAGUAAAGUUAACUCAGGAUAACUAAAAAAGAUAACUAGGAAUAUUGGAUAAAAUAUAACUCUCAAAAUAGUAAUAUAUUUAAAUGUACGACUUAAGUAAAUUUUACAAACAAAAAGUCAAUAGAAUUUACUUAAAAUUUCCCAAUUAAAUUCAACUUAACAUUUCUAAUUAAAUGUACUAAUAAUUUUGGUUUAUCUUUUACUUGGCAAAGCUUUGAAGAUUUAUUAGCCUUUUCUGAGUGAAAAAGUUGCCUUGCAUGUAAAUCCUACUCCUCAUUUUUUACAGUGUACAAUAAAGUAUUUUAUACAUGAAACCUUCAGCAAUUAUCUAAACAAGUAAAUUUCUCAUCAAAUGUGAGAAUAAAAUGUCAACCAGAUGAGCUAAUUUCAAUACUGUGAUCAUCCAGAUGCAGUUUGUCCUUUGGUUGUAGAAAUGCUAAGUCACCAAAUAAACCUCUCAAAUCAA